GAUAGGGAGUAUUUUAAGGUAUUUAGGGGAUAGAUCAAGGAGAUUACAAAAUAAUUUAACAAGCUUAGUUACAUACAUUUGUUAAAUAUUUGUAGGUCGUAAGAAAUUGACUAAAUUAUAUUUUGCAUGUUUUUAAAACUUUAAUAAUAAUUGAUUGAUUGUGAUUUUGUCAAUGCCGAUGGUGUUCAAGCAGUGCUCCAGAUGCAAUCCCAAAACAUCUGGAGCAACACCUAAAUACUGCCGGCUUUGACAAAAUCACCAUCAGUCAAUUGCAAAGACAGCUUGAUUUGGAACAGCUGACAUCCUGUGCCCAUACCAUCAAACAAUACAUUCCAGUUCCUAGGAAAGAGUCGAUAGCCAAAUCCAGUCUAAACAUCUGGCUGAUUGUGUGGCUAAUAGUAAUCGUAAUAAUAUGAAAGAGGACAGCAGGUUAGUUCUGAGACAGAGCCAAAGUGAAAUAUCACAUUUGGCAGAAGAAAUUUAUUUAUGAGGCUACAUAAAUUUGAGAGAUCUGAGGGUUUUCCUCCCCUCUAUUUUUGCUCAGUUUUUCUCAUUUUGUGGAAUGAAGUUUUUUAAAAUUUGUUUUAUUUAGUUCUUGCUGUUGUUUGGUUCAUCAUUGCUGUUGAUAUGGACAAUAGGAUAUGUUACAACCUUAAAUUCUGACUCAUGGCUGUUAAAAGGAAGCUUGCUGAUGUUCAUAUUGGUUACCCUGUCUUUCUGUGCAAGGUUGUUCAUAGGAUUCAACACAAUAAAAUAUUUCCCAGUAGCAUUUUUGAUUAGUUCCAUCUUUUGGAUAUCAUGGACCUGUUUCAUCUUUUUCCUGCCUAAUAUCCUUUGUUAAAACAAUAGUACGGAAUAGAUAAUUUAUUGAAAGUGUGUGUGUGUGUGUUCAUUGUUAUGAGGAAAAUCACUGGAAAUAAAUUGUAAUAUUAUACAGUAAGCUGCCAUGAAACAUUUAACAUAUUUGCUAAGAAAAAAAUGAGUUGCUGUAAAAAAAAUUAUUAUUAACGGCCAAUGAUCUGGAUAAACUAAAAAGAAGUAUAUAAAAUGGGAUGUCUGUCUGGCAUUCCCAAUUGGUUGUUAGUAGUGUCUUGAUUAUUCUUUUCCCGUGCUGCCACUGCCACCUUUUCCAUUAAUGUUAUCCUGCCCUACACAUCAAUUCCCCAUCCUAAUCUUUUCCCUUUGCCACUGUGCACUUUUGUUGCAUCUCUUUCCUCUUCUAUAAUAUGUGAUAGUGUACUAUACAUUUUUGGGCUCUUUAUCCAAUUCAGUUUUUAAAAAUCAUGUUUAAUAAUAAAAAUAGAAUAAAAUAAAAAAAAUAAUUGAUUUAAAAUGCAUUUAAUCUGUUAAAUGUUUUGUUAACAGCAUUUUAUUAUUAAUUACAAUCUCUAAAGAUAAUUUUUCUUUUAGUAUGCUUUUUAAUGAGAUCUUUAUAAUAGUUUUUUUAUGAAUUAAUUCAUGAGAAAUAUUUGGGCACAUUCCAACUGCCAAAGGCACAUAAAUCUACUUCGCUCUUGAGAAAGAUAUCUGGUAAUUUUUCAGUCAUGGCUUCUGCUUUAUGACUUUUAAACAUCCUUUCACAAAAUUACAUUUAUUUUGUUGUUUGAUUUUCACCCAGCUGGCUAAGCUAUCAAUUAUAAUAAUGUUAAGUAUUUUCUGAAAAAUCAGUUGAAUCAUACUAUAUAAAGAACUAAAAGGGUUCUGAAGAAAUAGGUACCUUUUCAAUGACACAUUUUCUUCAAACUUUUUUUAAUGUCACAUAUUAAAUAUCCAAGAUUUGUUUUCCUGUGGCUGAACAAUUAUGUCUCAGACUAAGAUAUUGUAGUCAUACAUCAGCUGUGGAUUUGAGAGAUCCUCCCAAGGGCCCCUUCAUUACAAGAGCCUGAAAUUGCACACAAAUACUUGACACACUCUUCAUUUUCUUGCAUAAUCAUAUUUCCCACCUCUUCCAUGGAAAACCAGAUUGCUUUUCCAAUUUUCAUAAUAUGAGAGUCUGUACAAAAAUCUAUCAAAACCAAAAGUCAUUUGGCAAUUCUAAGACAAUCUCGUGAUGGGUGACAAAACUUUUGUCUGCUAUCUAUUGGUGCCUUAUUGCACUAUUCCUAAAUUUUGAGAUAUUUGAUCUGCUUUGCUUAUGCACACCACGCUGGCUUAGUCAGAUUGCUGUUUUCUUUUAUCAAAUGAGUGGCGAAAUGUGCUAAAUGUGGUUCUUAUAAAUUUAAAAGCUUUUUAAAGCAUGCAUUAGAAUCUGUUUAUUGCUUUUCCCUGCCAUGUUGUUAUUGCUAUUUAACUUUGAAGUAUAUCUUGGAGGGCUAUUUAUUUACUCUGAUAUGUGAAUUAUGGAAACAGAGUCCUUAACUGGAGGCCACGUUUUCCAGAUAUAACUUCACAGCUUCCUUUCUUUUUUGGCAUGGUGGGCCUUAUCUAUUAUUUUUACAAAACCUUCCAAACUGAUCCUGGGUUCAUUACAAAUACAGAAGAAGAGAUUAAAAAGGUAUUUUCACACGUUCAAUAGUUCUUUUCAAGUAAUUACAAUAUAGCAAUUAAUAAUAAAAAACAAUAUUUCUCAGCAAAUUUGAACAUGUUUUUCUCAAAAUCCACCAAGUAUUGCUAAUGAGACAAAUUUGGAAAAGUGUUACAGGUAGUCCUCAACUUACAGCCACAAUUGAGCCCAAAAUUUCUGUUGUUAAAUGAAAGAUUUGUUAAGUGAGUUUUGCCCCAUUUUGCAACCUUUCUUGCUUAAGUCAAUCACUGCAAUUGAUAAAUUAGUAACCUAGUUAUUAAGUAGGUAAGGACUCCCCAUUGACUUUCUUGUGAGAAGGUUGCAAAAGUGAUCACAUGACUUUGGGACACUGCAACCAUCAUAAAUAUGAGUCAGUUGCAAAGCAUCUGAAUUUUGAUCACAUGAUCAUGGAAAAGCUGCAAAGGUUAUAACUCUGAAAAAUGGUCAUAAGCAGGGGUGGGAUUCAGUUUUUUAAACAACCAGUUCUGUGGGUGUGGCUUAGUUGGUAGGUGUGGCUUAGUUGGUGGGUGUGGCUUGGUGAUCAUGUGACUGGGUGGGCAUGGCCAACUCGACAUCACUCAUGCCAAGGGGUGCUUCUUGCCUGUCCUCUCAUGACAGUGGGGAUGCUGCAAAGGUCAUAAGUGUGAAAAAUGGUCAUAAGUCACUUUUU
This 3173-nucleotide long non-coding RNA is filed under the name Laticauda laticaudata (blue-ringed sea krait). RNAcentral's name for it is "lncRNA (ENSLLTG00000016174.1)". The record is from RNAcentral. Lineage: Eukaryota; Metazoa; Chordata; Lepidosauria; Squamata; Elapidae.